This 253-nucleotide ribosomal RNA is filed under the name uncultured bacterium. RNAcentral describes it as "partial 16S ribosomal RNA". It matches the Rfam family "Bacterial small subunit ribosomal RNA", at positions 524 to 776 of the family's 1533-position model. The record is from RNAcentral.
UACAGGGGGUGCAAACGUUGCUCGGAAUCAUUGGGCGUAAAGCGCACGUAGGCGGUUCGUUAUGUCGGAUGUGAAAGCCCUUGGCUUAACCGAGGAAGUGCAUCCGAAACUGGCGAGCUAGAGUACGAAAGAGGAUCGCGGAAUUCCCGGUGUAGAGGUGAAAUGCGCAGAUAUCGGGAGGAACACCGGUGGCGAAGGCGGUUCUCUGGGCCUGUACUGACGCUGAGGAGCGAAAGCGUGGGGAGCGAACAGG